CACGUAGGGGCCAAGCGUUGUCCGGAUUUAUUGGGCGUAAAGAGCUCGUAGGCGGUUCAGUCAGUCGGGUGUGAAAACUCUGGGCUCAACUCAGAGACGCCACCCGAUACUGCUGUGACUUGAGUCCGGUAGGGGAGCAGGGAAUUCCAGGUGUAGCGGUGAAAUGCGCAGAUAUCUGGAGGAACACCGGUGGCGAAGGCGCUGCUCUGGGCCGGUAUUGACGCUGAGGCGCGAAAGCCAGGGGAGCAAACGGG
This 254-nucleotide ribosomal RNA is filed under the name uncultured bacterium. Its description in RNAcentral is "partial 16S ribosomal RNA". It matches the Rfam family "Bacterial small subunit ribosomal RNA", at positions 524 to 776 of the family's 1533-position model. The record is from RNAcentral.